UUNUAGUAAUCUGCUCAUGAAUAUUUAAAUAGCCGCAAUUAUUUUGUGCUAAGGUAGCAUAAUCAUUUGUCUUUUAAUUAAAGACCGGAACGAAUGAUUUAACAUUUUAACUUCUAUAAUAAAUUCAUUCUUUAAAAUUAUUUUAAGUAUAAAAAAAUACUUAUACAUAAAAAAGACAACAAGACCCUAUUGAACUUUACUUUAGUUAAACUGGGGCAGUUAAUUAAAUAUUAUUUUAAUUUAAAAUAAUCAUAAAAUGACCCAAUCAAAUUGAUUACUUGAACAAGUUACCAUAGGGAUAACAGCGUAAUAAUUUUCUAAAGAUCCUAUUUAAAAAAUUGAUUGCGACCUCGAUGUUGAAUUAAUUAUCUCCUUUACGCAAUAGUAAAGAAAGAAAGUCUGUUCGACUUUUAAUUUUUUACAUGAUCUGAGUUCAAACCGGAGA
Molecule: ribosomal RNA, 445 nt
Filed under: Paratheuma shirahamaensis
Lineage: Eukaryota; Metazoa; Arthropoda; Arachnida; Araneae; Dictynidae
Description: partial 16S ribosomal RNA
Rfam family: Bacterial large subunit ribosomal RNA
Source: RNAcentral